Bubalus bubalis (water buffalo) is the source of this 879-nucleotide long non-coding RNA. RefSeq lists it as uncharacterized. Lineage: Eukaryota; Metazoa; Chordata; Mammalia; Artiodactyla; Bovidae. The record is from RefSeq and is a predicted model, not a curated record. The transcript has 2 exons.
CCCCCAGCAGUGCGGCCCUGGCACGUGACCAGCCUCACGUGACCAGAGCGCCCCGUGACCUGCCCCUCACGUGACCGGAUGUGGGGCGUGCCGCUGAAGGGAGGCUGGGCCAGCUGCCUGCGGAAAAGAAAAAAAAAAAAAGAAGACUGCGGAAGCCAGGGGGCGCCGAAGGGGUGUACGAGUCAAGUUGAGCUUCAGCUGAAGGGCCCGAGUGGCCGGCGCGUAAUUAGUCCGGAAGUACGCAGGGAACCAGAUGUGUUCAGAGGGGAGCCAAAAGGAUCUUGGAAGACCCAUCCAAAGAGCUUUAAACGUCCGGAGAUGUGUGCAGAAGAGCUCCCGGCUGCUGCGCCUCUUCCUUGCUGCAUCUCCGCUGACUGUCACUGGAUCAGCACACAGAAACCCAGAUUUACUGGAGAUUGAUCUGUCUCGUUAUCAUCAUGCUUUUAAGGACAUGCGCGGUUUCAACUCACUGGGUAGGGCCUCCUUAAAAUCCUUUACUCCCUAAAUCCUUUACUCCGUAGGCAAUGCCCUCAGAUUCAAGUCCAAAUUUCUCCAAUGACAGGCAAAAUCCAUUUGUAAUCUGACCCCUGCCUGUGAAUCUAUUCUCAACUUUCCCGGCUUCCCAGGAGCGCUCAGUGAUUCAGCUGUUCUGCCUCACGCUUCCCCGAAGGUCCAUCUGCAGAGACCUUCUUCUGCCAGACCAACUUAACCUUUUAAAAUGAAGAUUCCAAUUUCUUUCCAUCCCUUUGUGCCCAUGGGCAAGUUAUUUAAUCCAUGUCAGUUACCUGUCUUUCAGGAAUGUGGUGUUAAAUGUGGUAUUUGUGAAGUACCAGGAUGCCUGCCGUACUGUAAGCAUUAAACGUAGCUCUUCCCGUGUUU